ACUAGUUCUAAACUUUAACUAACACCAUUUUCAGCUUGCAGGGAUCCAGAACCUCCCGAUCAUCCAGCUGGCCUGCCCUGAGCUCCUAACCCAGGAAGUUCCGAAGCAAUAUCAUGUGUUAUUUUGAGUCAGGAGUAUGUAGCAAUCUGAUAGGCUGCCGCUGAAAAUGAAAACGGCUACCAGAUAGGUUGCCUCUCCUGUUUUGCACAUCCCUGAACCCGGAGCUGUUAGCAAUUCUAAUGCACUUGACUAUAACCUGAUUUAAAGGUCAAAAGUGUUGCUGUUGCAUCCAAAGGAGCCAAGAUAAGAAUCCACUGAGUGACCUCACCCCUCUUGAGAAGCCAGCACUCAUGUCCAGAGUAUGCGGUCUUUCCUUCCGUCACUUUUCUCUCCCCUUAAAUCUAAACCUAAAACGAUGCUUAGUAUAGACCUCAACUCUGCCUCACACUGGAAAAAAAUCCAUUUUCUGAUUCUAUUUUUUAUGAAAAUUAAAACGUCAUAGCAAGAAUUACAUAGUUUGAACUGAAAUUAGAACCCAUACUUGGGUAUCUUUUUAGAAAAAGAAAACUGCUGAUAAAUGAAGUACCACAUUCAUCCUUCACUUCCCUGGGAAUGGGUCAUCGUCCCUGCUCCUCCUGAAGGCAUUGAAUGGAGAGGGUGUGUGCCACCUGAACAGUGCCCUGGUUGGCAAAGCCCAGCGCCAUGAAUGGGGGAACACAAUGGAAGCACUAACUGUCAAGAGAUGCCAUGGGACCUUGGGAAGGAUGAUGCACACACCGAACAGGAAGCAGAAAACUUAGUGGAGCUUCUGCAAGCGAAGCCAAUGAGACCGUGCUACAGACCAGAUUGGAUUUAUAAAUCUAUGAGCGGUUCCACAGCUGGGCAUGCUCAUACUGAGCUGGCGGGCCAUUUUCUUAAAUAAGGCACAGAGCUGGUCUGACAAUUAGCUUAACAGAAUAAUUAUCAAGUGAAAAAUAAUGGCCGCACUGCUGGGAAUCUGAAUCAUGGCUCUCAUAAUUACUGAUUUGGGGCCUGGUUUUUAAAACGUAAAAUAGAGUUCUAAAUACUGCAUUCUUUGCAGUGUCUACAGCCUGGUACAGUGUCUAAGCAUAGAACAGAAUUAAAGGUAUAAUUAGUAGUUUAUUUACAUAAUCACUCAAAUCAUUUCUCUUAUAGUCCUACUGAAAGGCGGUAGACAAGCAUGGGAUGCUCACUUAUCUUAAUGCAGAAAACCUUGGAAAGUUGAUUAUUUAAUUGGUAUCGAAGCUUGAUAUUAGAACUGUCCUAAAUGCCUUAAUUGGAAAAAAGAGUGGGUGCUGUCAGCUGUACCAAAUGCUAGAACUUCCUCUCGUGUUCGGCAAAGAAAUAUUUUUAUAGGAAACUUAUGAUGGACAAUUCUGUCUCUCAGGUAGUUGACUUGAAUUUGUGGAAUAUGUCCAGGCACCUAUUAAUUCUGAAAGCACAUACAUGGCUCCUUGUCCUUCAUGCCAAACUAUUUCAGGAGGUUGAUUUGUAUGAGGGACACAGAAUGACAUGGAGAUAUGACAUGGACCUGUGAGACGUGAAGAAUAGUUUCACAGAUUGGGCUCAUCAUUCUGUUAGAUGCUGAGAGCAGACAUAUAUAUAUAUAUAUAUAUAUAUAUAUAUAUAUAUGUAUAUAUAUAUAUUAUAUGUGUGUGUGUGUGUGUGUGUGUGUGUGUGUGUGUUCGUCAUCAAUGCAAACCUAUUCUCCUAUACCAAAUGACAUAGUUUUCAAAAUGAAAUCAGGAAUAAAUUAAAAACAUGAUUAUUCGAAGGUAGGCAUAAAUAAGACAUAUGGCUUAGAAAGGGGAAGAUAACUGUAAUGUUUGGGGGGCUCCAGAUAACGUGGAGAAGAGAUUCUGGGUAUAACUGUGUUCUGUGUCAUAAAAUGGUGUGGUUUCAGCACCAUGCUAUGGGGCCUCUUCUAUUUCUUUAGAUCUUUCAAAUCCUUGUAUAAAUGUUGACCAUUGUCAAAUUCAUGUCAUCCUGACUUGAAGAGAAAAAUAAAACAUAUAUUUCCUACAGA
This is a non-coding RNA of Rattus norvegicus (Norway rat), 2047 nucleotides long. The record is from RefSeq and is a predicted model, not a curated record. Lineage: Eukaryota; Metazoa; Chordata; Mammalia; Rodentia; Muridae.